GGAUGAACGCUGGCGGCGUGCCUAAUACAUGCAAGUCGAGCGAACGGACGAGAAGCUUGCUUCUCUGAUGUUAGCGGCGGACGGGUGAGUAACACGUGGAUAACCUACCUAUAAGACUGGGAUAACUUCGGGAAACCGGAGCUAAUACCGGAUAAUAUUUUGAACCGCAUGGUUCAAAAGUGAAAGACAGUCUUGCUGUCACUUAUAGAUGGAUCCGCGCUGCAUUAGCUAGUUGGUAAGGUAACGGCUUACCAAGGCAACGAUGCAUAGCCGACCUGAGAGGGUGAUCGGCCACACUGGAACUGAGACACGGUCCAGACUCCUACGGGAGGCAGCAGUAGGGAAUCUUCCGCAAUGGGCGAAAGCCUGACGGAGCAACGCCGCGUGAGUGAUGAAGGUCUUCGGAUCGUAAAACUCUGUUAUUAGGGAAGAACAUAUGUGUAAGUAACUGUGCACAUCUUGACGGUACCUAAUCAGAAAGCCACGGCUAACUACGUG
RNAcentral lists this ribosomal RNA (498 nucleotides) under uncultured bacterium. RNAcentral's name for it is "partial 16S ribosomal RNA". It matches the Rfam family "Bacterial small subunit ribosomal RNA", at positions 27 to 507 of the family's 1533-position model. The record is from RNAcentral.